Molecule: small nuclear RNA, 106 nt
Filed under: Carlito syrichta (Philippine tarsier)
Lineage: Eukaryota; Metazoa; Chordata; Mammalia; Primates; Tarsiidae
Source: RNAcentral
GUGCUUACUUCAGCAGCACAUACACUAAAAUUGGAACAUUGCAGAGAAGGUUAGCGUGCCUCUGUACAAGGGUAACACACACAUUCAUGAAGCAUUCCAUUUAAAA